This 205-nucleotide long non-coding RNA is filed under the name Salvia miltiorrhiza (redroot sage). Its description in RNAcentral is "long non-coding RNA (SMIL_LNC009235)". The record is from RNAcentral. Lineage: Eukaryota; Viridiplantae; Streptophyta; Magnoliopsida; Lamiales; Lamiaceae.
UGGCCCAAAUUGAAUGGCAAUCCCUUGCCAAUACAAUAGAGCAAAACGUCGUGCUGUACUGUGAUGACAGUAGAAUUUGAUGACACCACCCAAUUGAAUGUCAUGAUUUUGAAUAAGGCCGAGUACAGAUAGGUCAGGUUCGAGGCUUUCAUUGGCUUCAUCCACCUCUUCAGCUUGCCACCUCUGAUCACUUCUACCACUUUAU